AAAGCUCAUUUGGUUACCUAAAGUUUGAAGUGUUUUUUAGUUUGUUGCAUUAAUCUGGAUUUUUAAAACUUUGAAAAUGCUUGAUAGAAUUUAAAAAGUGUACAAACUGCACCCCCUAUUUUGCAAGCAAAGAUGUUUGUAUCAUGAUCUAGAUUGAUCUUCAAAAUAAGUGAACGAAUCGAAUAUUUUUACUAUUUUCUGCGUCAAAAGAAAUCAAUUAAAAUAAAACUUUGUAAUGAAAAUACUCGAACUCUGUGGACAAUUGACUCAACUCAAUUUUACACCCGAAAACAUG
Molecule: long non-coding RNA, 295 nt
Filed under: Brassica napus (rape)
Lineage: Eukaryota; Viridiplantae; Streptophyta; Magnoliopsida; Brassicales; Brassicaceae
Description: long non-coding RNA (BNAP_LNC022759)
Source: RNAcentral